This is a small nucleolar RNA of Suncus etruscus (white-toothed pygmy shrew), 212 nucleotides long. RefSeq annotates it as small nucleolar RNA U3. The transcript has a single exon. The record is from RefSeq and is a predicted model, not a curated record. Lineage: Eukaryota; Metazoa; Chordata; Mammalia; Eulipotyphla; Soricidae.
AAGACAAUACUUUCAGGGAUCAUUUCUCUAGUAUGUGACUAGGAGUUUCUCUGAUCGUGUAAAGCACCCGUAGCCACGAGGAGGAGCCAGAGAGUCCUCUCCUGAGCCUGAAGCCGGCCCUAGGCGUAGCUUCUGCGACUGCCUCCUGCCAUGGAUGAUCAUUCUCCCUUUACUCUGGAAAGGGUAGAGGGAGAGGAUGCAGUCUGAGUGGU